RNAcentral lists this ribosomal RNA (518 nucleotides) under Bradyrhizobium sp. RNAcentral describes it as "bacterial SSU rRNA". It matches the Rfam family "Bacterial small subunit ribosomal RNA", at positions 123 to 675 of the family's 1533-position model. The record is from RNAcentral. Lineage: Bacteria; Pseudomonadati; Pseudomonadota; Alphaproteobacteria; Hyphomicrobiales; Nitrobacteraceae.
AACGUACCUUUUGGUUCGGAACAACACAGGGAAACUUGUGCUAAUACCGGAUAAGCCCUUACGGGGAAAGAUUUAUCGCCGAAAGAUCGGCCCGCGUCUGAUUAGCUAGUUGGUGAGGUAAUGGCUCACCAAGGCGACGAUCAGUAGCUGGUCUGAGAGGAUGAUCAGCCACAUUGGGACUGAGACACGGCCCAAACUCCUACGGGAGGCAGCAGUGGGGAAUAUUGGACAAUGGGCGCAAGCCUGAUCCAGCCAUGCCGCGUGAGUGAUGAAGGCCCUAGGGUUGUAAAGCUCUUUUGUGCGGGAAGAUAAUGACGGUACCGCAAGAAUAAGCCCCGGCUAACUUCGUGCCAGCAGCCGCGGUAAUACGAAGGGGGCUAGCGUUGCUCGGAAUCACUGGGCGUAAAGGGUGCGUAGGCGGGUCUUUAAGUCAGGGGUGAAAUCCUGGAGCUCAACUCCAGAACUGCCUUUGAUACUGAAGAUCUUGAGUUCGGGAGAGGUGAGUGGAACUGCGAGUG